ACUAGAGUAGCACUCGCAUAUCAAUAAGCGGAGGAAAAGGCUGCGGAACUGAACGACCGCUACCUACGCUUAGGAUGUUGACACACGCGCGUGCUCGAUGAUAGUCUAUACAUGACUCUGUGCAUAUCAAUAAGCGGAGGAAAAGAAACUAACAAGGAUUCCCCUAGUAACGGCGAGUGAAGCGGGAAGAGCUCAAAUUUGAAAUCUUAAAGGGUUUCCCUUUACGAAUUGUAGUUUAAAGAAGUGUUUUCUGUUGAGGUUUUGGUAAAAGUUCUUUGGAAUAGGACAUCAUAGAGGGUGAGAAUCCCGUAUUUGACCUUUACUUUCAACUUUGUGAUACACUUUCAAAGAGUCGGAUUGUUUGGGAAUGCAGUCCAAAAUGGGUGGUAAAUUUCAUCUAAAGCUAAAUAUUGGCGAGAGACCGAUAGCGAACAAGUACCGUGAGGGAAAGAUGAAAAGAACUUUGAAAAGAGAGUUAAACAGUACGUGAAAUUGUCAAAAGGGAAGCGUUUGACACCAGUGUUGUUUUUCUGAAAAUCAAUUAAAGUACUGUUUAUGCUAAGUUGUUUAGACUUUAUCAGCUAUCUGCUUAGUUUUGAGCUUUUCUUUAAUGCACUUUUCAGUUAACAAGUCAACAUCAAUUUCUUUUGCUGUAAAAAAGCUUGAGGAAGGUGGCUCGAGAUUCGUCUUAAGUGUUUAUAGCCUCUUGCCUAUGCAGUCGGAGAGAUUGAGGUCUGCAGCGUAGAUCCUUCGGGGCUAAAUGCAUUUGUGCUAAGUUAUAGCAUUUUAUAGACAACUUGUUGACUAUGAUUUGUCUUGUAGCUUACUCGCUUAUGUUAUUUUACCUACGCUUAGGAUGUUGAACUCUAUCACACACAG
Molecule: ribosomal RNA, 879 nt
Filed under: uncultured Neocallimastigales
Lineage: Eukaryota; Fungi; Neocallimastigomycota; Neocallimastigomycetes; Neocallimastigales
Description: partial large subunit ribosomal RNA
Rfam family: Eukaryotic large subunit ribosomal RNA
Source: RNAcentral